This 2818-nucleotide ribosomal RNA is filed under the name human gut metagenome. RNAcentral's name for it is "bacterial LSU rRNA". It matches the Rfam family "Bacterial large subunit ribosomal RNA". The record is from RNAcentral.
GCACAUAGCCUGAGAUCCGAAGAUCUCCGAAUGAGGAAACUCACAUGGGAAACCCCAUGUAUCAUUAAGUGAAUACAUAGCUUAAUGAAGGUAACCCAGGGAACUGAAACAUCUAAGUACCUGGAGGAAGAGAAAGAAAAAUCGAUUUUCUUAGUAGCGGCGAGCGAAAGGGAAAGAGCCCAAACCGGAAACUUGUUUCCGGGGUUGUGGACAUAGCAUGAAAGUGGAGGCUAUUGUAACUGAAGAGAACUGGAAAGUUCCACCGUAGAAGGUAAUAGUCCUGUAAGUGAAACGAGAAGACCACGAGUUAUGAUCCAGAGUACCACGAGACACGUGAAACCUUGUGGGAAGCAGGGAGGACCACCUCCCAAGGCUAAAUACUACCUGAUGACCGAUAGUGAAGCAGUACCGUGAGGGAAAGGUGAAAAGAACCCCGGGAGGGGAGUGAAAUAGAACCUGAAACCGUGUGCCUACAACCGCUCAGAGCCCCUUAUGAGGGUGAUGAGGUGCUUUUUGUAGAACGAGCCAACGAGUUACGGUAUGUAGCAAGGUUAAGUACUUAAGGUACGGAGCCGAAGGGAAACCGAGUCUGAAUAGGGCGACUAGUUGCAUGCCGUAGACCCGAAACCGGGUGACCUAUCCAUGGCCAGGUUGAAGCGAGGGUAAAACCUCGUGGAGGACCGAACCACGUUGCUGUUGAAAAAGCAUGGGAUGAGCUGUGGAUAGCGGAGAAAUUCCAAUCGAACCCGGAGAUAGCUGGUUCUCUCCGAAAUAGCUUUAGGGCUAGCGUCGAGUAUGAGUAGUGGAGGUAGAGCACUGAAUGGGCUAGGGGGCAUAGCGCUUACCGAACCUUAUCAAACUCCGAAUGCCACAUACUUUGAGCUCGGCAGUCAGACUACGAAUGAUAAGAUCCGUGGUCAAAAGGGAAACAGCCCAGAUCGUCAGCUAAGGUCCCAAAGUGUAAGUUAAGUGGGAAAGGAUGUGAGAUUUCUAAGACAACUAGGAUGUUGGCUUAGAAGCAGCCAUUCAUUAAAAGAGUGCGUAAUAGCUCACUAGUCGAGAGAUCUUGCGCCGAAAAUGUAACGGGGCUAAACUUACCACCGAAGCUACGGGCUUGAACUUAGUUCAAGCGGUAGGAGAGCGUCGUAACCGGGCUGAAGUCGUACCGUAAGGAGCGGUGGACUGGUUACGAGUGAGAAUGUUGGCAUCAGUAGCGAGAUGUGGGUGAGAAUCCCACAGGCCGAAAACCUAAGGUUUCCUCAGGAAGGUUCGUCCGCUGAGGGUUAGUCGGGACCUAAGCCGAGGCCGAAAGGCGUAGGUGAUGGACAACUGGUUGAUAUUCCAGUACCACUACCAUCGUUAUUAUCGAUGGCGUGACGCAGGAGGAUAGUGUGUGCUAGCUAUUGGAUGCUAGUCUAAGCGUUUAGGCAGUGAGAGUAGGCAAAUCCGCUCUCAUAAUGCUGAGGCGUGAUGGGGAAGGUUCCACGGAACCGAAGUACAUGAUUCCACGCUGCCAAGAAAAGCGUCUAGAGAGAGAAGUAGUGCCCGUACCGCAAACCGACACAGGUAGGUGAGGAGAGAAUCCUAAGGCCGGCGGAAGAAUUACAGUUAAGGAACUCGGCAAAUUGACCCCGUAAGUUCGCGAGAAGGGGUGCCUACGAGAGUAGGCCGCAGAGAAUAGGCCCAAGCAACUGUUUAGCAAAAACACAGGUCUCUGCUAAAGCGUAAGCUGAUGUAUAGGGGCUGACGCCUGCCCGGUGCUGGAAGGUUAAGGGGAACACUUAGCGCAAGCGAAGGUGUGAACUUAAGCCCCAGUAAACGGCGGCCGUAACUAUAACGGUCCUAAGGUAGCGAAAUUCCUUGUCAGGUAAGUUCUGACCCGCACGAAUGGCGUAAUGACUUGGGCACUGUCUCAACUGUAAAUCCGGCGAAGUUGUAGUGCGAGUGAAGAUGCUCGCUACCCGCGAUUGGACGGAAAGACCCCGUAGAGCUUUACUGUAGCUUAGCAUUGAGUUUUGGUAUUGUCUGUACAGGAUAGGUGGGAGACUAGGAAACCAGGGCGUCAGCCUUGGUGGAGUCAACCUUGGGAUACCACCCUGACAGUACUGAAAUUCUAACUGGCGGCCAUGAAUCUGGUCACAGGACAUUGUUAGGUGGGCAGUUUGACUGGGGCGGUCGCCUCCUAAAAAGUAACGGAGGCGCCCAAAGGUUCCCUCAGAACGGUCGGAAAUCGUUCGAAGAGUGCAAAGGCAGAAGGGAGCCUGACUGCGACACCCACAAGUGGAGCAGGGACGAAAGUCGGGCUUAGUGAUCCGGUGGUACCUCGUGGGAGGGCCAUCGCUCAACGGAUAAAAGCUACCUCGGGGAUAACAGGCUGAUCUCCCCCAAGAGUCCACAUCGACGGGGAGGUUUGGCACCUCGAUGUCGGCUCGUCGCAUCCUGGGGCUGAAGUAGGUCCCAAGGGUUGGGCUGUUCGCCCAUUAAAGCGGCACGCGAGCUGGGUUCAGAACGUCGUGAGACAGUUCGGUCCCUAUCCGUCGCGGGCGUAGGAAAUUUGAGAGGAGCUGUCCUUAGUACGAGAGGACCGGGAUGGACUGACCUCUGGUGUACCAGUUGUUCCGCCAGGAGCACAGCUGGGUAGCUAAGUCGGGAAUGGAUAAACGCUGAAAGCAUCUAAGCGUGAAGCCAACCUCAAGAUGAGAUUUCCCAUAGCGUAAGCUAGUAAGAUCCCUUGAAGAACACAAGGUUGAUAGGUCGGGGGUGUAAGCAUGGUAACAUGUUCAGCUGACCGAUACUAAUAGAUCGAGGGCUUGACCAA